AGCUGUCUUUGUUUUUAACUCCAAAAU
This 27-nucleotide non-coding RNA is filed under the name Cricetulus griseus (Chinese hamster). The record is from RNAcentral. Lineage: Eukaryota; Metazoa; Chordata; Mammalia; Rodentia; Cricetidae.